RNAcentral lists this ribosomal RNA (225 nucleotides) under uncultured Acinetobacter sp. RNAcentral describes it as "partial 16S ribosomal RNA". It matches the Rfam family "Bacterial small subunit ribosomal RNA", at positions 568 to 792 of the family's 1533-position model. The record is from RNAcentral. Lineage: Bacteria; Pseudomonadati; Pseudomonadota; Gammaproteobacteria; Moraxellales; Moraxellaceae.
CGCGUAGGCGGCCAAUUAAGUCAAAUGUGAAAUCCCCGCGCUUAACGUGGGAAUUGCAUUCGAUACUGGUUGGCUAGAGUAUGGGAGAGGAUGGUAGAAUUCCAGGUGUAGCGGUGAAAUGCGUAGAGAUCUGGAGGAAUACCGAUGGCGAAGGCAGCCAUCUGGCCUAAUACUGACACUGAGGUGCGAAAGCAUGGGGAGCAAACAGGAUUAGAUACCCUAGUA